Molecule: ribosomal RNA, 253 nt
Filed under: uncultured bacterium
Lineage: Bacteria
Description: partial 16S ribosomal RNA
Rfam family: Bacterial small subunit ribosomal RNA
Source: RNAcentral
UACGGAGGGUGCAAGCGUUAUCCGGAUUUACUGGGUUUAAAGGGUGCGUAGGUGGGUAGGUAAGUCAGUGGUGAAAUCUUCGAGCUUAACUCGGAAACUGCCAUUGAUACUAUCUGUCUUGAAUACUUUGGAGGUAAGCGGAAUAUGUCAUGUAGCGGUGAAAUGCUUAGAUAUGACAUAGAACACCAAUUGCGAAGGCAGCUCGCUGGGACGGUACUGACGCUGAGGCGCGAAAGCGUGGGGAGCAAACAGG